Molecule: unclassified non-coding RNA, 226 nt
Filed under: Hevea brasiliensis (rubber tree)
Lineage: Eukaryota; Viridiplantae; Streptophyta; Magnoliopsida; Malpighiales; Euphorbiaceae
Source: RNAcentral
GUUCAGUUACCAUAGACUUGGAAAUGGUGGCUACCCCAGAAUCAAUUGAUUUUGAAUUAAAUUUAACUUUUGGUUUCUCAUUUGCCACUGCCUCAGCAAGUGAACUACAAUCUGAGCCAGCAUACGAAUUGGCUGAAAUAAACUCAUCACCUUUUUCUUCACUAGAUACAAUUCCACCAUCACUUGGUCCAAUUAUUACUUUCAUCUUUCUCAGACCUGCAAUCUG